Molecule: long non-coding RNA, 1073 nt
Organism: Leptopilina boulardi
Lineage: Eukaryota; Metazoa; Arthropoda; Insecta; Hymenoptera; Figitidae
Exons: 5
Source: RefSeq, a predicted model, not a curated record
CCAUUUUACAUUUGAGAAAAUUUAAUUUUGUAUUAUUUAGUCGUACCUUAGUGUUAAUUAUAUUUCAUUGUAAUUAAAUUCAGAUUUGCCUAAAUUAUCUAUAAACGAUUAUUAGUUUAUUGUCAGACAUGAAGAAAACUAGUAUAUUUGGUAUAUUUCGAUCAAAUUUUUUUCGGACACGGAAUCUAAAAAGUUAUUAGCAUCACAAUGUUAAAUAAAAAAUACAGAAUUUUCAGACUUGGAGAAGAAUUUGAUGAAAUUUUUAUCCACAGAUGUGAUGAGAAUUAAUUACAACGCAACUUCAUAAUAAAUCUUCGAAUAAAUGUUCAAUACGUGAAGGAUGGGUGUUUGUUGCGGAGCUGCUCCUGGAGGAGAUCUUGCAUAGCUGAGUCGCAGUUCAAAGCGGAUGGUCCAGAAGAAGGAAGAUUUUUUUCUCUCUAAAAAGAUGAUAUGCUGUCAUCGUUUUUUAGACACUAUGCAGAAAUCCCCCCAUAUAGGUUUAUUUCAAUUUUCCAAAAAUAUCUAAAGAGACAAGGAAGGAUGUGGAAGAAGAAAAGUGGUCCCAGCAAACAGCUUUUUUUUUAUAAAAUUUUUUUUUUUAUUAUUUUUUUUAUAAAAUUUUUUUUUGUGCUCCCAACCUUUCGCAGAAGUGCGAGCAAGAGAGAGGGAUCUUUGGGAGUUGACCUGAAGCGCUCGUGUUGUUGGCGAUGUCACUAUUGCCCCGACGUGGGAUUCGCCGAUCGGCGAGUCGUUUUUUAUUUUACCCCUUCCCAGUUUAAAACUUUUCUUUUUUAAGUUUAAUUAAAAUAGAUUUGUAUUAUUUGCAAAUGAAAUUAUUAAGAUAUUCUUAAUUUUUAAAUUUUAGAAUUUUCUUGACUUUAUAUUUACUUUAUAUUUUCUCAAUAUAUCAUAUUGAUUUAAAAUAUUAAAAAUUAAAGAAAAAAAAAAAAAGAAAACAGGGAAGGAAUUCUGACAACAUAGUGACACCAUUGACAAAAAUUAUUAUUUUCUAGUAUUUUUUAGCGGUAAUAUAAAAAAAAACAUGUGAUAUUUUCGGAAAUUUAACACCUCAA